UGCCUAAUACAUGCAAGUAGAACGCUGAAGAGAGGAGCUUGCUCUUCUUGGAUGAGCUGCGAACGGGUGAGUAACGCGUAGGUAACCUGCCUUGUAGCGGGGGAUAACUAUUGGAAACGAUAGCUAAUACCGCAUAACAAUGGAUGACACAUGUCAUUUAUUUGAAAGGGGCAAUUGCUCCACUACAAGAUGGACCUGCGUUGUAUUAGCUAGUAGGUGAGGUAACGGCUCACCUAGGCGACGAUACAUAGCCGACCUGAGAGGGUGAUCGGCCACACUGGGACUGAGACACGGCCCAGACUCCUACGGGAGGCAGCAGUAGGGAAUCUUCGGCAAUGGGGGCAACCCUGACCGAGCAACGCCGCGUGAGUGAAGAAGGUUUUCGGAUCGUAAAGCUCUGUUGUAAGUCAAGAACGAGUGUGAGAGUGGAAAGUUCACACUGUGACGGUAGCUUACCAGAAAGGGACGGCUAACUACGUGCCAGCAGCCGCGGUAAUACGUAGGUCCCGAGCGUUGUCCGGGUUUAUUGGGCGUAAAGCGAGCGCAGGCGGUUUGAUAAGUCUGAAGUUAAAGGCUGUGGCUCAACCAUAGUUCGCUUUGGAAACUGUCAAACUUGAGUGCAGAAGGGGAGAGUGGAAUUCCAUGUGUAGCGGUGAAAUGCGUAGAUAUAUGGAGGAACACCGGUGGCGAAAGCGGCUCUCUGGUCUGUAACUGACGCUGAGGCUCGAAAGCGUGGGGAGCGAACAGGAUUAGAUACCCUGGUAGUCCACGCCGUAAACGAUGAGUGCUAGGUGUUGGAUCCUUUCCGGGAUUCAGUGCCGCAGCUAACGCAUUAAGCACUCCGCCUGGGGAGUACGACCGCAAGGUUGAAACUCAAAGGAAUUGACGGGGGCCCGCACAAGCGGUGGAGCAUGUGGUUUAAUUCGAAGCAACGCGAAGAACCUUACCAGGUCUUGACAUCCCGAUGCUAUUUCUAGAGAUAGAAAGUUACUUCGGUACAUCGGUGACAGGUGGUGCAUGGUUGUCGUCAGCUCGUGUCGUGAGAUGUUGGGUUAAGUCCCGCAACGAGCGCAACCCCUAUUGUUAGUUGCCAUCAUUCAGUUGGGCACUCUAGCGAGACUGCCGGUAAUAAACCGGAGGAAGGUGGGGAUGACGUCAAAUCAUCAUGCCCCUUAUGACCUGGGCUACACACGUGCUACAAUGGUUGGUACAACGAGUUGCGAGUCGGUGACGGCAAGCUAAUCUCUUAAAGCCAAUCUCAGUUCGGAUUGUAGGCUGCAACUCGCCUACAUGAAGUCGGAAUCGCUAGUAAUCGCGGAUCAGCACGCCGCGGUGAAUACGUUCCCGGGCCUUGUACACACCGCCCGUCACACCACGAGAGUUUGUAACACCCGAAGUCGGUGAGGUAACCUUUUGGAGCCAGCCGCCUAAGGUGGGAUAGAUGAUUGGGGUGAAGU
This 1457-nucleotide ribosomal RNA is filed under the name uncultured organism. RNAcentral's name for it is "16S ribosomal RNA". It matches the Rfam family "Bacterial small subunit ribosomal RNA". The record is from RNAcentral.